This 516-nucleotide ribosomal RNA is filed under the name uncultured bacterium. Its description in RNAcentral is "bacterial SSU rRNA". It matches the Rfam family "Bacterial small subunit ribosomal RNA", at positions 109 to 656 of the family's 1533-position model. The record is from RNAcentral.
AGUAACACGUGAAUCAUCUACCUUCGAGUGGGGAAUAACUGAGAGAAAUCUUAGCUAAUACCGCAUAAUACCUACGGGUCAAAGGCAGCAAUGCGCUUGAAGAGGAGUUCGCGGCAGAUUAGUUAGUUGGCGGGGUAAUGGCCCACCAAGACGAUGAUCUGUAUCCGGCCUGAGAGGGCGCACGGACACACUGGAACUGAAACACGGUCCAGACUCCUACGGGAGGCAGCAGUGGGGAAUUUUGCGCAAUGGGGGAAACCCUGACGCAGCAACGCCGCGUGGAGGAUGAAAUCCCUUGGGAUGUAAACUCCUUUCGAUCGGGAAGAUAAUGACGGUACCGAGAGAAGAAGCCCCGGCUAACUUCGUGCCAGCAGCCGCGGUAAUACGAGGGGGGCAAGCGUUGUUCGGAAUUAUUGGGCGUAAAGGGUGCGUAGGCGGUUUGACAAGUCAUCUGUGAAAUCUCUGGGCUCAACCCAGAGUCUGCAGGCGAAACUGUCGGGCUUGAGUAUGGGAGAG